AUGUACGAGGCAUAGAAACUCCUUCGUGCUCCAUCUCCAGUUGCUGAAGUCGUUCCUGAUCGGCCUCCAUCUCCAGUUCGCCUCUCUUCCCUGAGCUCCCUCCCACCGCGCGCUCUCCUGCUGCCGCUCUUUCCCGGCGUGUCCCUGCUCCAGCGCCGCGGAGCUCCCGCGCGCGCAAGUCCCUCUGGUGGGCGUCGCGCUGGUCGCAUCCCCUCCGGUCUCCUCCCUCAAGCGCCGCUUCUUCGUGCCCGUGAUUGGAGAUCCUCGCCCAUGGCUCUGGGCUGCCAGCUCCGAGCUCCUCCCUGCUUCUCUGCUCCAGCCCGACCGCCCUCACCUCAUCCCCUUCCUGACGCUCGUCCUCGGCUCCCUCUCUCGUCUGGUGGCUGGUGCGCGCAGGCGUCAGGCUCAGGGAGUCCCCGCGCGAGCUGGCGCUGUGUGGGCCGGCGGCGGCGAUGGAGGUGCUGGCUGCCGCUCCUCGUAGGCGUUGCCUUCCUCGGCCUCCUUGACAUGGCGAAGAACGUCGAGGUGGUCGAGAGCUGCACCACCUCCUUUUACCGCUGCUCCUCCCAUGGGGGUGAAGCCGUGGGUCGGGGCGCGGUCCCGUGGUCAGGCGACGACGGCGAGGGCGAAGAGACCCGGCGGUGCGAGCAGCGGUCCGAGAGGGAGGACGCCAUGCCCUACGACCGCGACGUUGACAUGGAUGCCGUGCUUGUCGGUGGCGCAGCCAAGGACUGGAGUAAAUGCUACAUAGAUCCUUCUAUAGAGGGUAUCCUCAGAUCGAUGGAGUCAUCUCAAUAUUAUUCAAAGAAUAGUAUUAAUGUGGCUCGAGGGAGAGGGUACAAGAUUGUGAUUACAAUCAGCCUUUCUUCAGACUUCCCAGUUGGCAACUCUUCAUGGGCUGAAUAUGAUGCUGUGGCACCUGUGCCUCCAAAGACUGAAGAAGCUCUUGCUGCAGCCUUUAUUUCUAACUGUUGUGCACGGAACUUUCGUUUGCAAGCCCUCGAGAUGCUUGAAAAUUUGGAUGUCAAAAUAGAUUCGUAUGGUGGUUGUCAUCGCAACCGUGAUGGCAAAGUGGACACCUUGAAGCGAUACAAAUUCAGCUUGGCAUUUGAGAAUUCUAAUGAGGAGGAUUACGUAACAGAAGAGUUUUUUCCCAAUCACUGGUACGAUAAUUGAUCACGUGAUGCGAAAGAAGAGCCAAGUCGACCCCAAGAUGACGUAACGAGUGGACUAAUUCGCAAGGUGAUGCGGAUGGACGAACCUGAAGGUGGAUAAACUGAACAAGUGCCAAAACAAAGGAUGGUCGCCAAGUGGACGUCACCUAACAAACACUAACGUAGUGUUAAUCCAG
This is an RNA transcript of Zea mays, 1351 nucleotides long. It is a transcript of the gene named fucosyltransferase pseudogene, with no coding region annotated. The record is from RefSeq and is marked validated. The transcript has 3 exons. NCBI's taxonomy places the organism in Eukaryota, Viridiplantae, Streptophyta, Magnoliopsida, Poales, Poaceae.